Molecule: long non-coding RNA, 254 nt
Organism: Hylaeus anthracinus
Lineage: Eukaryota; Metazoa; Arthropoda; Insecta; Hymenoptera; Colletidae
Exons: 2
Source: RefSeq, a predicted model, not a curated record
GAAAAACGGACCCCAUAGGUUUUAUUCUGUUCGACGUUUCGUAAACGACCAAGCGAGCACGCGGGGGCACGAGCCGGCGAACGGAAGCCAGGGAAAACACCGAAAGAAGUAUCUAAUCUAAUCCAGAAAUACUGUAGCAGGUCGUGUGCGUAUGGUAUUGGCCUGAUUCUUCGAAUUUAUUUAUGAGCAAACGAAGAGAUCAUCAUUAUUCUCGUUAUAACUGUUGCACGAAUCAUGGAAUACAAAUUAGUAAC